This is a long non-coding RNA of Acanthochromis polyacanthus (spiny chromis), 3047 nucleotides long. RefSeq lists it as uncharacterized. Lineage: Eukaryota; Metazoa; Chordata; Actinopteri; Pomacentridae. The record is from RefSeq and is a predicted model, not a curated record. The transcript is spliced from 3 exons.
AGUGCCCGGAGUGCUGCAGCAUCUUGCCUGUUUUGCUGUUUUCCCCUCUUCUACAUUUAGUACAUUUAGUAAAUAAUAAAGGAAUUACGUUAGAAUUCUGUAUUGAGUCUAACUUGUCCUAAUACCAAAAUAACAUGAAUCUGCUAGGACGAACGAGUAAAGUUUUAAUAUGUGAUUACACUCGUGUAUCCCUCUCGAUGAAGUUGUUUAUCAAACUUAGUGCAUUUACGCGUGUAUAUGUGUGACAUUGUUUAUUUAUUUCUAUCUAGAGUUCAGAAUUGCAUGACUCCUCUGACGAAGAGUAUGUCCCAGACGCCCCAACAUCUUCCUCCAGAGGUCGGGCAUCUAAACGAAGCCGUCAGGCGGGCUAUGGAGGCCGUGGUCGGGGAGCGACGCGAGCACCCCGAGCCAAAAAAACGUCCUGCAGUCUCUUGGCCUGACAAGCCGUGGGAUUGGUAACUUUUCUGGAAGUUGCUGAUCCCUGAUGCUCUCUCCUCCACAAGCAAAACAAAUGUGCGUGCGGUUGUGUAGUGCGUAGCUCGCGCACCUCUGCAUGGGCUUGCUUGCUGUGCGCGUAACCGUUGAUUGACAGCAUGACAAAGCGGAAGCUCGAACUUGAUUGGUCGGCAGCGACCGGCGCUUUUUGGAAUAACAUGGGGGUCUAUGAGAGGAAGACGGAGCUCAUGAAUAAAUUUUCAUAUCGCGUCUAAGAUGCCUAAGAUCUCAAGACUGUUGGUCAUGGUCUUUCUGGCCCUGCUCCAGAACAUCUUCAUCAACUACGUCUUCUUUUGAAGAGGCCCUCAGAUGCUGCAAUCUCUGAUCUUAAAGCUCGUGUCCGGAGAUAACAGCCAUACGUAAUGUGGCACAAUGGAUGCGCUGGCAUUGCUGGAAGAUCACGUUAAGAAUGGAGAGAGAUUUUAGGGAUCACGGGGAUUUCCUGGCCCAUGACGAUGACUGGCUAAUAAGCCGAUUCAGAUUCCUUAGAGCAGUACUCUUGGAUCUAUGUGCUGAACUGGGCUGUCUUAGACAGACCCACCUGCCCAAACCACGCCAUCCCAGUACAGACACAGGAGCUGACGACUCAGGGGUUUCUGGCGACACCGGCUCCUUCCAGCGGGAAUUGGCCGACAGGUAUGUGUUUUAUAUGAAGAAUAUAUGAGGUUACAUUUGUUGUCUAAAUCCUAUCUGGGUCUGAUAUACAGUUAAAGGAUGUCCUUUAGGUCUGGAAUAUCACAACCAUCCCUCAGCGCAAUAAUGCCAGCUGUUUUGGAUGACAUUAUAAACAUGACCAGUCAAUACAUCAGGUUUCCUUACACUGUGGGUGAACAGGCCAACAUUAAACGGCAAUUUGCAGCGAUGUCCGGUUUCCCAAAUGUAAUCGGCGUAACUGACUGCACUCAUGUUGCUGUAAGGGCUCCGAGUGAAAAUGAAUUUGUCUGUGUGAACCGAAAAAAAUGUACAUUCAAUCAGUGUACAAAUUAUUUGUACAUCGGACAUGAUCAUAACAAAUUUAGUGGCAGGGUGGCCUGGGUCAACACAUGAUUCAUUCAUUCAUCCUGACACACAGCAGUGUAGGGAAAAGACUCCAGGCCGGCGCUGCGUAAAAUGCCGUGGAUCAGCAGCUUAUUUAUAUACAGAUACAUUCAUGAGUUACUUUGCAUUGACCAUUCAUGGUAAAAUGUGGGUGUGUUGUGGGUGGAAUGUGAGGUGGAUCCACCUGUGCAAUCUUCCAGCUGGUGUGUGAUUUAUCAAGAAAUUGCGUGCAGCUGUGCUUAUGCCCAGUUUUAUAAAUCAGGGGCGAAGGGCGUACGCCCAUUUCAGAUUUUCGGCGUACGCAAACUUUUAGUAUGGAUCCUACGCAAUGUUUUAUAAAUGAGGCCGCUGCUCUUCUAGUUGUCUUCCUUCUAGUCGCUGUAAAAAGUCACUCCAUCCUCGCCGACUUCAACAGCUCUUCAUGACAAUUGUUCUGCCUCCGAGCUCCCCUCGAGACUCGGAUUUUCGAAAAACUCGCCAGGCGGGGGAAGGUGUGGUGGGUAGGGAGUAGAGGGGGGAGGCUGCCUCCCACCUCCCCUCCUACUCUCUGCCCUGACUCUACCCAGACUCUGCCUUGGCUCCAGCUGUAUUGUCACUUGGAAACUACGAUGUCAAAGGGACGACGAAAUCAAAACUUUUUUCUCUGCUCUGUACCUCAGUGAGUUAAGGGUUUGCCUAUGGAGCUGCAGGUUGCUGGUUCAAAACCAGUCCCUUCUUAAAUUUUUUGAAAAACUUCGACAAAAAAAAAAAGAAAAAUGCCAGAGGUAGGUCUUGAACCUGCUACCUUCCCUGGACAUAACCUGUCAGAGCAUCAAGGAGGAGUUCCACAGGAUUGCAGGUGAAUGAUGUAGAGAUCUGUUAAAUUCAUUUUAAAUCAUAUUCUGUUAAUGACAUUGUCCUGCAACCUCAGACUGGGAUUAGUUAUUUUAAUUUCUUUUAGGAUUUCCCAGUGUGAUUGGCUGCAUAGAUGCACACACAUCCCCAUCACAGCUCCCUCACAUCUCGAAUAGGAAGUCCAUUCACAGCAUAAAUGUGCAGAUCAUAUGUGAUGCUGCAUACAUCAUUUCUAAUGUGGAGGCCAAGUGGUCUGGGUCUGUUCAUGACUCCAGGAUUUAUGGAGAGUCUAACCUGAGCAACAGACUGCAGCGUGGAGAGUUUGAUGACCUUCUGCUGGGUGACAGGGGUUACCAUGCCAACCCAGGCUGAUGACCUCAUACCCUGACCCUGAACCAGGCCCCCAACAGAACUUCAACCGGGCUCACUGCAGGACCAAAGCCCGGGUGGAGAUGACCAUAGGCCUGCUGAAAGCCCGUUUCCAGCGUCUACGUCUCCGCAGGGUGACCCCUGAGAGGGCAUGUGUUCUUCUUCAUAAUAUUACCACUAUUAGAGGAGAGAAACACCCUGCCCUACAAACUGAAGACCCAGAUGAUGAGCCCAUCCACCUGCAGCUAUCCAGGACAGCAGAGCAGUCAGAGACACCGUAUGCAAUAAUCACUUUAGGGUUUAAGUCACCA